RNAcentral lists this ribosomal RNA (51 nucleotides) under Monosporascus cannonballus. RNAcentral describes it as "partial 18S ribosomal RNA". It matches the Rfam family "Eukaryotic small subunit ribosomal RNA", at positions 1776 to 1826 of the family's 1831-position model. The record is from RNAcentral. Lineage: Eukaryota; Fungi; Ascomycota; Sordariomycetes; Xylariales.
GAGGAAGUAAAAGUCGUAACAAGGUCUCCGUUGGUGAACCAGCGGAGGGAU